CCCCAGUAAGGAAUCUUGGAAAAGGAGGGAGGUUUUGGUGUUGAACACGAUAAUUAGUCACCAUUUGAGUCAAAAAGAUUUUAAAUUGUGCUUGGAAUUGUUGAAUAUGCUAAUUGAGUUAUGUGGGAAUGAUGAUCCGAACGUGUUGUCGAAAUUAGGGUAUGUAAAAAUGCAGUAUGGUGAUGUGGAGGGCACAAAAAAGGCGUUUAAUUCGGUGGAGGGGAUGGUAGGGAGUGAAAGUGAAGUGGGGUUGAGGAAUUUGGUUUGUUGAAUAUGCUAAUUGAGUUAUGCGGGGAUGAUGAUCCGAACGUGUUGUCGAAAUUAGGGUAUGUAAAAAUGCAGUAUGGUGAUGUGGAGGGCGCGAAAAAGGCGUUUU
RNAcentral lists this long non-coding RNA (376 nucleotides) under Nicotiana benthamiana. RNAcentral describes it as "long non-coding RNA (NBEN_LNC026995)". The record is from RNAcentral. Lineage: Eukaryota; Viridiplantae; Streptophyta; Magnoliopsida; Solanales; Solanaceae.